RNAcentral lists this ribosomal RNA (272 nucleotides) under uncultured prokaryote. Its description in RNAcentral is "partial 16S ribosomal RNA". It matches the Rfam family "Bacterial small subunit ribosomal RNA", at positions 524 to 794 of the family's 1533-position model. The record is from RNAcentral.
UACGGAGGAUCCGAGCGUUAUCCGGAUUUAUUGGGUUUAAAGGGUGCUCAGGCGGGAGAUUAAGUCGGCGGUGAAAUUUUGCAGCUCAACUGUAAAAGUGCCUUCGAAACUGGUUUCCUUGAGUGUGGAUGAGGUAGGCGGAAUUUGUGGUGUAGCGGUGAAAUGCAUAGAUAUCACGAGGAACUCCGAUUGCGUAGGCAGCUUACUAAACCAUAACUGACGCUCAAGCACGAAGGCGUGGGGAGUCAAACAGGAUUAGAUACCCUGGUAGU